GCUGGGCGUGGUGGCUCACGCCUGUAAUCCCAGCACUUUAGGAGGCUGAGGUGGGUGGAUCACCUGAGGUCGGGAGUUUGAGACCAGCCUGGCCAACAUGGUGAAACCCCAUCUCUA
Molecule: non-coding RNA, 117 nt
Filed under: Nomascus leucogenys (northern white-cheeked gibbon)
Lineage: Eukaryota; Metazoa; Chordata; Mammalia; Primates; Hylobatidae
Source: Rfam by way of RNAcentral